Molecule: ribosomal RNA, 540 nt
Filed under: Escherichia coli
Lineage: Bacteria; Pseudomonadati; Pseudomonadota; Gammaproteobacteria; Enterobacterales; Enterobacteriaceae
Description: partial 23S ribosomal RNA
Rfam family: Bacterial large subunit ribosomal RNA
Source: RNAcentral
GGUUAAGCGACUAAGCGUACACGGUGGAUGCCCUGGCAGUCAGAGGCGAUGAAGGACGUGCUAAUCUGCGAUAAGCGUCGGUAAGGUGAUAUGAACCGUUAUAACCGGCGAUUUCCGAAUGGGGAAACCCAGUGUGUUUCGACACACUAUCAUUAACUGAAUCCAUAGGUUAAUGAGGCGAACCGGGGGAACUGAAACAUCUAAGUACCCCGAGGAAAAGAAAUCAACCGAGAUUCCCCCAGUAGCGGCGAGCGAACGGGGAGCAGCCCAGAGCCUGAAUCAGUAUGUGUGUUAGUGGAAGCGUCUGGAAAGGCGCGCGAUACAGGGUGACAGCCCCGUACACAAAAAUGCACAUGCUGUGAGCUCGAUGAGUAGGGCGGGACACGUGGUAUCCUGUCUGAAUAUGGGGGGACCAUCCUCCAAGGCUAAAUACUCCUGACUGACCGAUAGUGAACCAGUACCGUGAGGGAAAGGCGAAAAGAACCCCGGCGAGGGGAGUGAAAAAGAACCUGAAACCGUGUACGUACAAGCAGUGGGAGC